Aedes albopictus (Asian tiger mosquito) is the source of this 518-nucleotide long non-coding RNA. RefSeq lists it as uncharacterized. NCBI's taxonomy places the organism in Eukaryota, Metazoa, Arthropoda, Insecta, Diptera, Culicidae. The transcript has 3 exons. The record is from RefSeq and is a predicted model, not a curated record.
AUUCACCAGGAAAUCCAGCAGCUCGAAAGGGUAUUCCUCCUUGGAUUAGAAACAGCUUGCAACGAGGUCUGCAACCGGUAUCGGAAAUGCAUUUUGAGAGAAAUUGGACCUAUUUACAAACCGGACGUGGUGAUCAUUUCAAAGUACCACAGCUACAUCACCUUAGUAUACCUCAACCAGCAUCUAAUUACCCUAAAAGAAGCCCUUUCGGUGCUGCUGCUCCUAAUUCACACAGUGCAACACGGAUGCAUAAGAAGCUGAUCCAAAUCGGCUCGACCCGGUCAACGAUGUUUUUUGAGGUGACUAACUGGUACAAAUCCGUACGAAGCAAGGAAUUGGAGGAUUAUCCGUAGUGAUGGUCACGUCGAGCUGGUAUUUUAUGAAAAGAUUGAAAAGAGGAUGUUUACGAACCACCGGACCGGAAGCUCGAGAAGGAAACCCGCUUAAACUAUUUCAAUUUAUUCGUAUCCAUGUUUUACAUGCUUUUGCUGGCACCUACUAGGGGUAAGAUGAGUGAA